AGAGAUGUGCCCGAAUUGGUUAGGGAGCUGACUGUAAAUCAGUGCAUUAUCGCAAUAAAGGUUCGAGUCCUUUCAUCUCAA
This 81-nucleotide transfer RNA is filed under the name Batrachochytrium salamandrivorans. RNAcentral's name for it is "tRNA-Tyr". It matches the Rfam family "tRNA". From Rfam's summary of the family: Transfer RNA (tRNA) molecules are approximately 80 nucleotides in length. Their secondary structure includes four short double-helical elements and three loops (D, anti-codon, and T loops). Lineage: Eukaryota; Fungi; Chytridiomycota; Chytridiomycetes; Rhizophydiales. The record is from RNAcentral.